CCACAUCCGAGCCUAUGCUGGGUACAGAGGAUGCUGCGUCCGCUCCAAAUGAAUGAAAUCGGGGACAGGCGCUCCUGUCCUGCUGUGAAUCCCAUAGCUGUAAAGUUCAGACCUGGAGACUCUACGUGUGGAAUAUGACCUGGAGAUGACAUCAUAAGGAUUUGGAAGACUGCAGAAAGUGAGACAACCUCAGGGGAGGUUUCAGCCAAAGAAUCGUAGUUUUGCCUCUUGUCUUCCAUUCCUGAGGUGGCAUCCAACAACAGGCUCCAAGCCUCUAAUGUGUAAGAAAAUGAAAAUAAAUAUAUAAGUUUCCUGUGCUCGUCAGCCUCCGAUGUGCUCUCCCUGCUCCGGAAGUAACUUCAGAUCAAGUAUAUAGCAGCACCAAGUAAGCGUUGUAGGUUGAAGAAGCAGCUGGUACUGCUGGGCUCAUGGUAGGCGAAAAGGAAGAAUGAUGGAGCCUCUUGAAACUUCUGCUUGGAAGUCUCCUAUGCCACUGUCACUCACAGUCCCGUAGCCAAAGCAAAUCCGAUGGCCACACCCGGCUGCCUUUGGUGGUGGUGGUGAUGUGUAAUCCUUCCUUGUGGAGAAGCAGAGAAAACGUUCCCAUACUUCUUGUGGAACACAUGAAAUUUAUUAUGGUUCUGGUCUUUCUUCAUGUAGUAGCUUGUCUUGAGUCUUUCAAUGUUAUACAAAUAGACUCUGCCUCCUUUUUAGUCAGCUGCACAGCGUGCCGUGCAAUAUGAACAUAGUUAUUUUAUUAAUAAAGUUU
Molecule: long non-coding RNA, 769 nt
Organism: Mesocricetus auratus (golden hamster)
Lineage: Eukaryota; Metazoa; Chordata; Mammalia; Rodentia; Cricetidae
Exons: 3
Source: RefSeq, a predicted model, not a curated record